This is a non-coding RNA of Oryctolagus cuniculus (rabbit), 3410 nucleotides long. NCBI's taxonomy places the organism in Eukaryota, Metazoa, Chordata, Mammalia, Lagomorpha, Leporidae. The record is from RefSeq and is a predicted model, not a curated record.
CACCAGCCCAGAAUGGAGGUGGGGCGGCCCGGCGCUUCAACUCCGCCCCCUGCCCCCCAGCCCCGACCCCAAGCCCCCAGAAGCUGUAUUAGGGAACCUGUUCGGUGAUCCGCGAGGCCAGAGUCAAGUAAACGACCUGGAGUGGGCAGGGGCCCGGGGGCUGCUGGCCCGACUGUGCGGGGUCCGGACGUAGUCGGGGCCAGAGUGGCUGCAGUACUCCAGCGCAUCCUCAGAUCUGUCACCCCGCGCCCUGGUUCAUCACUGCGUUAACCUGUGUGCGACCGUAUUUUGUUACGACACCUUGAUCUGUGUUACAUGUUUUGUUCUUGCACGUUAAACUGUGUUAUUGUUAAUGUAACAAUUGACCCGUGUUCUAUUUUGUGUGCCUGUUUUGUUGAUUACAGUAACCAUAGUCGUUGCUGGCAUGUAGAAGACCUCGAAUAAAUGUUUGAAUGAAGGGGAGGAAGCCGUGGGAGGAUGGUGCACUCCAAGGGAGAGUGCACCAGGAGCCUCCUUCGCUUGUCUGGAGAAGGAGCUCAGAGAAGGGGGACCCCUGGGGCUAAGUCUCCUCUGCCAAAUGGAAGCUUGGAGGGGCACAGGAAGCAGGGGUCCCGCGAUGAGGAAACCCUGCUCUGAGCUUGGAACCUCAGUCCAGUGAUGGGGCACCAGAGAGCCCUCUUCCCUUCGAGUAAUCAAGGAAAGCUACCCCAGUGUUGUAGCAACGCUGCUUUUGUGUGGCUCGAGGCUGGCUUUGCAGUUUGCUCACUUUUCCAGAAAGCCGGGCUACCACACCCACGCCUUUGACGUGAGAUCAGCCUGUGUGUGAUAUACCCAAUCAAGAGCUGAAGAGAAAAGGCAAACUUCAAGUUCAAUGGCUUAUCGCCACCUCGUGGUAAGUCCCCUUGUCCCAUCUUCUUGUUGGUCCCUUCUCCCAGAUCUCACCCUAGUCCCAGGAACUCUCAACUUUAAAAUUUCUUAAGCUUCAAAAUGUUUAUAAAAAGAGAGUAACCUCAUCCAAGGAAGACACCCCUUUAUUUAUUUUUUUUAGAAUAUUUAUUUAUUUAUUUCAUUCAUGGAGCUACGCCACUAAUCUGGAGCCAGGAGCUUCCUCUGGGUCUCCUACACGGGUUCAGUGGCUCAAGGACUUGGGUCAUCUUCUACUGCUUUCCCAGACCGUAGCAGAGAGCUGAAUCAAAAGUGGAGCAGCCGGGACUCGAACCGGUGCUCAUAUGGGAUGGUGGCACUGCAGGCGGUGGCUUUACCUGCUAUGCCACAGCACAGCCCCACCACCCUUUAUUUCACAUGUACCACCUUGGCUCUCCUUUCUAACAGGACCUUGUGCUCAACUUGUAGAUUCCGGUUGUCUGUCACUGAAAGCAGGUACCAACGUCAACAUCAGAUUUGUUGAAUGGCUAAUUCUUCAAAUGAUUGAGAAACCUCCUACCUUGCUCCUGUACCUGUGUUAGUGGACACAAAGGUAGGUACAACAUCGUGCUGGCCCCAGCAAGAUAUGGAGACCACCCCCAGGAAGAUCUCCUUCUAGGUUGGUGCUCUGGCCACAGGAAAGGCACCCCCUGAUGAUGUUCCAGGGUCCCGUGUCCUGAUUCACCGACCUGGGAGGUUCGGCUCAACCUCUUCACAGACCAGUUUGCCUUAGGUCCUCUGGUAAGUCGACUCCUGUUUUCUAGUGGUGCUUUCUGGGUGUUUGGAUCUCUGAGGAGACACCAUCAUAAGUUUCCUUGCAAUUGAGUGUGACGGGGUUAGGAAGUGGGACUCUGGUCUGAUGAAAGAAAGGCCUUUCCUGGAUGUAGUUUGUUUUCCGUCAUUGUGCUAUUAGUCAUUGCUGUUAUUCUUGUCUCUGUCUCCCACUUGAAACAUUAAGAUGGGAGAUUCUGGUCUGGUUAAAGAAAGGCUCAUUCGCCUUUCCUGGAUAUGACUGGUUUCUGUUCCUGUUUCAUAACCACUGUCCGAUGUACUGUCUGCAUCCAUAAUCCCAGGAGGUAACUUCUUUUCCUUGUCCGGCCUGUCCCUUUUAUUCCCUUGUCUUCGGAGUCUCUCUGUCCCUUCCAUUGAGCAUGGGCUCUGCUCAGUCUAAGCCAACACCUUUUCUGUGUGUGUUCAAGAAUUUCUCUCUUUUGAAUCUAGAAAGAUCAAAAUUGCCUUAAAAGUUGCCUUGUAAUUUGCCGAACUUGUUUUGUAACUCGACUUUUUACAGAUCCAAAUGAAAAAUAGCAGUGGGGAAUCAGCUCUAUGGUAAAUUUUACAAACUCUGGUUUACGUAACUGAUUUCCAGCUGGAGUUUUGUGAAUAGAUUAGAAUUCCAUUUAAAUGUAGUUUUGACCUUAAUUCAGAUAAAAGUAUGGUAUAAUAUCAGCAACUUAAGUCAUCUAGGUGUAAUCACUGAAUGUAAAUUAAAUAAAGGAAAAUGAGAUGAAUGUGUAUACAUGUAAACUUUGCUAUGCUGAGCACCUUCUAUUCUAUAAAGAAAAAACUAUUUGGAUUUUCAUUUUCAUUUUCAUAAACAGUCCAUAUAAAAAAUAAUUCAAUACUGCUUAAAAAUAACCAUGGUUAAAUUCGAUAUUAUGUUAUUUUAAAAAGUAUUAAUUUGGAGAUUUUUAAAGGAUUAUUUCAAGGUCAAUAAAAAAAAUCAACAGAUAGGGGCCGGCGCUGUGGCGCAGCGACUUAACACCCAGGCCUGAAGCACCGGCAUCCCAUAUGGGCGCUGGUUCGAGACCCAGCUGCUGCACUUCUGAUCCAGCUCUCUGCUAUGGCCUGGGAAAGCAGUAGAAGAUGGCCUAAGUCCUUGGGCGCCUGCACCCAUGUGUGAGACACAGAAGAAGCUUCUGGCUCCUGGUUUCUGAUCGGCGCAGCUCGGCCAUUGCGGCCAACUGAGGAGUGAACCAUCGGCUGGAAGACUUUUCUCUCUGUCUCUACUUCUCUCUGUAACUCUGUCUUUCAAAUAAAUAAAAUAAAUCUUUAAAAAAAAAAAAAAGGUCACGGCCGGCGUGCGGCUCAAUAGGCUAAUCCUCCACCUAGCGGCGCCGGCACACUGGGUUCUAGUCUCUAUCGGGGUGCCAGAUUCUGUCCUGGUUGCCCCUCUUCCAGGCCAGCUCUCUGCUGUGGCCCGGGAGUGCAGUGGAGGAUGGCCCAAGUCUUGGGCCCUGCACCCCAUGCGAGACCAGGAGAAACACCUGGCUCCUGCUUUCGGAUCAGCGUGGUGCACCGGCUGCAGCGCGCUGGCCGCGGCGGCCAUUGGAGGAUGAACCAAUGGCAAAGGAAGACCUUUCUCUCUCUCUCUCUCUCUCUCUCUCUCUCUCUCAUUGUCUACUCUGCCUGUAAAAAAAAAAAAAAAAAGAAAAGAAAAGAAAAAAGGUCACAAGUAUAAAAGUUCCUAGCAAGGAAGUUUAAGA